AAGUCGUAACAAGGUUUCCGUAGGUGAACCUGCGGAAGGAUCAUUAUCACGUAUCCACGUAUCAACCAUCGCGAACUGUUUUACCUUUUGUCGAGAGUGAGGUAGUGGGACAUAGGCCUGCUCAUUUUAAAUGAUUUAAGAGCAUUCAGGGCUUAUGUCUCCAUGGAACCUAAUUUAACGGACCCCUCAGACGGGACUGUUAAAGGCGGUACAUACUCGUUCACUUCAAAUUGUAUUUUCAAAUCAUUUGUUAAACAAUUUAAACUACUUUGAACUUUGACUUAUCUUUUUCAUACUCUUAACGGAGAUGAAAUUCAUUACGAAACUAGAACAACUCUUAGCAACGGAUAUCUUGGUUCUC
Molecule: unclassified non-coding RNA, 361 nt
Filed under: fungal sp.
Lineage: Eukaryota; Fungi
Description: partial internal transcribed spacer region
Rfam family: Eukaryotic small subunit ribosomal RNA (bases 1-46)
Source: RNAcentral